GACCAUUUAACAGUGAUAUGUUUAUAUAUAUAUUAGAGACAUUAUAUGGCGGUUGCGGGUUUAUUCUCGUAGCUGUUUCUGUGUAGUGCUCCACUGUUUUAUGAUAUAUAGUUUAUAGCCGGAGGCGUGCACUUCUCCCCUUGUAGGACGUCGUGACCCAUUGGAUUAUGUUGUCUAAGGCUUAUAAUGGAGACCGUGACAUUAGGGCCGAAAGGCCUCAUUGAUCCGGACUUAUAAUGUCCCGACAUCUAUCCGAUGGUAUAAUUAUGAUGAUAGAUCGCUAUAAAUGCGUAUGAGCGUUCAGAUCCAUAACAAAUUCUUUAUAUGAUAUUUAAAUAGUGGAAAUCGGAUUUAAUGCCGAUUCUACACAUAUGGUAUUGAUAGUUAUGGUAUUCUCGAACCGUUCUUUAUCAUCAGUCAACGGCGUUUAUGUUUUGGGUAAUUACAGGACCCGUCUUGAAACACGGACCAAGGAGUCUAGCAUGUGCGCAAGUCAUUGGGACUUUGUGAAACCUAAAGGCGUAAUGAAAGUGAAAUAUUUGUGAAUUUUCGUAAUUCACUGAAUUUAAGGGAAGAUGGGUAACGUUAUUUAUGUUACCUCGCAUUCCCGGGGCGUCGCGUACUUAUUGCAAGUUGCGGCRCACCAAGAGCGUACAYG
RNAcentral lists this ribosomal RNA (658 nucleotides) under Calathus angustulus. RNAcentral describes it as "eukaryotic LSU rRNA". It matches the Rfam family "Eukaryotic large subunit ribosomal RNA", at positions 435 to 808 of the family's 3401-position model. Lineage: Eukaryota; Metazoa; Arthropoda; Insecta; Coleoptera; Carabidae. The record is from RNAcentral.